CAAAAUUACAAAAAUGCAAACAAAAAUGCAAAUACACAGAAAUGCAAAUACAUAGAAAUGUAACAUCCGCCCAAUGUUUAGCAUAUUUUUUCUUUAAUUUAGUUGUAAUAUAUUCCAUUGAAUUUUAUAACGGUAUAAAAUAGUAGGAGAAUAUGGCAAAGAAAUCUGCAAGUUGUGUACUAGCUGUAGAUGUUGGAACAACGAAUCUAACGUGUCAUGUCUUUGAUAACAGUGGUAUUUCUAAAUACGGAGCAACCAGAAAGGUUUG
This is a non-coding RNA of Paramuricea clavata, 268 nucleotides long. The record is from the annotation of a GenBank genome assembly. NCBI's taxonomy places the organism in Eukaryota, Metazoa, Cnidaria, Anthozoa, Malacalcyonacea, Plexauridae.